AGAGUUUGAUCCUGGCUCAGAUUGAACGCUGGCGGCAUGCCUAACACAUGCAAGUCGAACGGCAGCACAGCAGAGCUUGCUCUGUGGGUGGCGAGUGGCGGACGGGUGAGUAAUGCAUCGGGACCUACCCAGACGUGGGGGAUAACCUCGGGAAACCGGGACUAAUACCGCAUACGUCCUACGGGAGAAAGCGGGGGAUCUUCGGACCUCGCGCGGUUGGACGGACCGAUGUGCGAUUAGCUAGUUGGUAGGGUAAAGGCCUACCAAGGCGACGAUCGCUAUCUGGUCUGAGAGGAUGAUCAACCACACUGAAANUGAGACACGGUCCAGACUCUUACGGGAGCCAGCAGUGGGGAAUAUUGGACAAUGGGCGCAAGCCUGAUCCAGCAAUGCCCGGCGUGUGUGAAGAAGCCCUUCGGGUUGUAAAGCACUUUAGUCAGGAACGAAAUACCACGGGUCAAUAACCGGUGGGGCUGACGGUACCUGAGGAAUAAGCACCGGCUAACUUCGUGCCAGCAGCCGCGGUAAUACGAAGGGUGCAAGCGUUAAUCGGAAUUACUGGGCGUAAAGGGUGCGUAGGCGGUUCGUUAAGUCUGUUGUGAAAUCCCCGGGCUCAACCUGGGAAUGGCAAUGGAUACUGGCGAGCUAGAGUGUGUCAGAGGAUGGUGGAAUUUCCGGUGUAGCGGUGAAAUGCGUAGAGAUCGGAAGGAACAUCAGUGGCGAAGGCGGCCAUCUGGGACAACACUGACGCUGAAGCACGAAAGCGUGGGGAGCAAACAGGAUUAGAUACCCUGGUAGUC
This 800-nucleotide ribosomal RNA is filed under the name uncultured bacterium. RNAcentral describes it as "bacterial SSU rRNA". It matches the Rfam family "Bacterial small subunit ribosomal RNA", at positions 8 to 795 of the family's 1533-position model. The record is from RNAcentral.